GAUGAACGCUGGCGGCGUGCCUAGUACAUGCAAGUCGAGCGAGCAGACGAGGAGCUUGCUCCUCUGACGUUAGCGGCGGACGGGUGAGUAACACGUGGAUAACCUACCUAUAAGACUGGGAUAACUUCGGGAAACCGGAGCUAAUACCGGAUAAUAUAUUGAACCGCAUGGUUCAAUAGUGAAAGACGGUUUUGCUGUCACUUAUAGAUGGAUCCGCGCCGCAUUAGCUAGUUGGUAAGGUAACGGCUUACCAAGGCGACGAUGCGUAGCCGACCUGAGAGGGUGAUCGGCCACACUGGAACUGAGACACGGUCCAGACUCCUACGGGAGGCAGCAGUAGGGAAUCUUCCGCAAUGGGCGAAAGCCUGACGGAGCAACGCCGCGUGAGUGAUGAAGGUCUUCGGAUCGUAAAACUCUGUUAUUAGGGAAGAACAAAUGUGUAAGUAACUAUGCACGUCUUGACGGUACCUAAUCAGAAAGCCACGGCUAACUACGUG
RNAcentral lists this ribosomal RNA (497 nucleotides) under uncultured bacterium. RNAcentral's name for it is "partial 16S ribosomal RNA". It matches the Rfam family "Bacterial small subunit ribosomal RNA", at positions 28 to 507 of the family's 1533-position model. The record is from RNAcentral.